CCGUCACUGUGCCAUCGCUGCGUUUCCGAAUCUACCACUUGAAUGCAGGAAUCUGUAGUACCGCCAGGACUGGAGACGCAAACUUCAGCCAAGCCAGUGAAGACUUGAGGCCUGUCAACAUCCAUAUGGGAAACAGAUCCUUCCCAGCUGAGCCUUGAGCUAACUGCAGCCACAGAUGACACCUUGAUCAUAACCUUGUGAGAGACCUGAACCGGAACGACCCAGCUCAGCUGGUGGUUCCUGACCUGCAGCAACUGUAAGGUGACUGAACAGCGUCAAAGAGAUGGGGAGAGAGACAUGCUGGCAAAAAGACAGAGUGAGGACGGAGCAAAGCCCCAAUGCUGAAGAUGAAGAAAAAGAUGUUAAUAGAGACGUGAAAAGGAAAGCUUGAAUUAUGAUACUCCUGUGAUCCAGAAC
Non-coding RNA from Kogia breviceps (pygmy sperm whale), 417 nucleotides. The record is from RefSeq and is a predicted model, not a curated record. NCBI's taxonomy places the organism in Eukaryota, Metazoa, Chordata, Mammalia, Artiodactyla, Physeteridae.